AGCGAACGCUGGCGGCAGGCUUAACACAUGCAAGUCGAGCGGGUAUCCUUGUGGUGUCAGCGGCAGACGGGUGAGUAACGCGUGGGAACGUGCCCUUCGGUUCGGAAUAACUCAGGGAAACUUGAGCUAAUACCGGAUACGUGCGAGAGCAGAAAGGUUUAUCUGCCGAAGGAUCGGCCCGCGUCUGAUUAGCUAGUUGGUGAGGUUAUGGCUCACCAAGGCGACGAUCAGUAGCUGGUCUGAGAGGAUGAUCAGCCACACUGGGACUGAGACACGGCCCAGACUCCUACGGGAGGCAGCAGUGGGGAAUAUUGGACAAUGGGGGCAACCCUGAUCCAGCCAUGCCGCGUGAGUGAUGACGGCCUUAGGGUUGUAAAGCUCUUUUCUCCGGGACGAUAAUGACGGUACCGGAGGAAUAAGCCCCGGCUAACUUCGU
Molecule: ribosomal RNA, 436 nt
Filed under: uncultured bacterium
Lineage: Bacteria
Description: partial 16S ribosomal RNA
Rfam family: Bacterial small subunit ribosomal RNA
Source: RNAcentral